Molecule: ribosomal RNA, 232 nt
Filed under: uncultured bacterium
Lineage: Bacteria
Description: partial 16S ribosomal RNA
Rfam family: Bacterial small subunit ribosomal RNA
Source: RNAcentral
UACUGCCUAUCAGAGGGGAAUAACAGUGAGAAAUCAUUGCUAAUACCGCAUAUGCCAUAGUUAUCGCAUGAUAAUAGUGGGAAAGGAGCAAUCCGCUGAUAGAUGAGCUUGCGUCUGAUUAGCUAGUUGGUGGGGUAACGGCCUACCAAGGCGACGAUCAGUAGCCGGACUGAGAGGUUGAACGGCCACAUUGGGACUGAGAUACGGCCCAGACUCCUACGGGAGGCAGCAG